RNAcentral lists this ribosomal RNA (468 nucleotides) under uncultured bacterium. Its description in RNAcentral is "partial 16S ribosomal RNA". It matches the Rfam family "Bacterial small subunit ribosomal RNA", at positions 28 to 507 of the family's 1533-position model. The record is from RNAcentral.
GACGAACGCUGGCGGCGUGCUUAACACAUGCAAGUCGAACGGAAAGGCCCUGCUUUUGUGGGGUGCUCGAGUGGCGAACGGGUGAGUAACACGUGAGUAACCUGCCCUUGACUUUGGGAUAACUUCAGGAAACUGGGGCUAAUACCGGAUAGGAGCUCCUGCUGCAUGGUGGGGGUUGGAAAGUUUCGGCGGUUGGGGAUGGACUCGCGGCUUAUCAGCUUGUUGGUGGGGUAGUGGCUUACCAAGGCUUUGACGGGUAGCCGGCCUGAGAGGGUGACCGGCCACAUUGGGACUGAGAUACGGCCCAGACUCCUACGGGAGGCAGCAGUGGGGAAUAUUGCACAAUGGUCGGAAGCCUGAUACAGCAACGCCGCGUGCGGGAUGACGGCCUUCGGGUUGUAAACCGCUUUCGCCUGUGACGAAGCGUGAGUGACGGUAAUGGGUAAAGAAGCACCGGCUAACUACGUG